RNAcentral lists this ribosomal RNA (622 nucleotides) under Actinomyces graevenitzii. RNAcentral's name for it is "bacterial SSU rRNA". It matches the Rfam family "Bacterial small subunit ribosomal RNA", at positions 907 to 1533 of the family's 1533-position model. The record is from RNAcentral. Lineage: Bacteria; Bacillati; Actinomycetota; Actinomycetes; Actinomycetales; Actinomycetaceae.
GAAUUGACGGGGGCCCGCACAAGCGGAGGAACAUGUGGUUUAAUUCGAUGAUACGCGAGGAACCUUACCCGGGCUUGAAUUGCAGAGGAAGGAUGUAGAGAUAAUGACGCCCUUCGGGGCCUCUGUGAAGGUGCUGCAUGGUUGUCGUCAGCUCGUGCCGUGAGGUGUCGGCUUAAGUGCCAUAACGAGCGCAACCCCUGUCUACGGUUGCCAUCAGGUAAUGCUGGGAACUCUGGAGAUACUGCCACCGCAAGGUGUGAGGAAGGUGGGGAUGACGUCAAAUCAGCACGGCCCUUACAUCCGGGGCGACACACGUGUUACAAUGGCCGGUACAGAGGGAUGGUGUAAUGCAAAUUGCAUCAAAUCUUAAAAGCCGGUCCCAGUUCGGACUGAGGUCUGCAACCCGACCUCACGAAGCUGGAUUCGCUAGUAAUCGCGCAUCAGCCAUGGCGCGGUGAAUACGUUCCCGGGCCUUGUACACACCGCCCGUCAAGCCAUGAAAGCCGGGGGUGCCUGAAGUCCGUGACCGCAAGGAUCGGCCUAGGGCAAAACUGGUGAUUGGGGCUAAGUCGUAACAAGGUAGCCGUACCGGAAGGUGCGGCUGGAACACCUCCUUUCUGGA